UUAGAGUUUGAUCCUGGCUCAGGAUGAACGCUAGCGGCAGGCCUAAUACAUGCAAGUCGAACGGGAGGCCCCUCCGGGGGCCGAGAGUGGCGCACGGGUGCGUAACGCGUAUGCAACCAACCCCCGACAGUGGGAUAGCCGGUGGAAACGCCGGGUAACCCCCCAUAGCCCUGGUGGAGGGCAUCCUCCGCCAGGUAAAGCCGAGAGGCGGUCGGGGACGGGCAUGCGUCCCAUUAGCUGGUAGGCGGGGCGACGGCCCACCUAGGCGACGAUGGGUAGGGGAUCUGAGAGGACGGUCCCCCACACUGGUACUGAGACACGGACCAGACUCCUACGGGAGGCAGCAGUAAGGGAUAUUGGGCAAUGGGGGCUACCCUGACCCAGCCAUGCCGCGUGAGGGAAUGAGGCCCUACGGGUCGUGAACCUCUUUUGCACGGGGAUAACGGCGCCCACGUGAUGGGCGCGUGCAGGUACCGUGCGAAUAAGCAUCGGCUAACUCCGUGCCAGCAGCCGCGGUAAUACGGAGGAUGCGAGCGUUAUCCGGAUUCAUUGGGUUUAAAGGGUGCGCAGGCGGCGCGACAAGUCAGCGGUGAAAUCCGGGGGCCCAACCCCCGAAGUGCCGUUGAUACUGCCGCGCUGGAAUGCGGUCGAGGCGGGCGGAAUGUGGCGUGUAGCGGUGAAAUGCAUAGAUAUGCCACAGAACCCCGAUAGCGAAGGCAGCUCGCCAGUCCUGCAUUGACGCUCGGGCACGAAAGCGUGGGGAUCGAACAGGAUUAGAUACCCUGGUAGUCCACGCCGUA
This 800-nucleotide ribosomal RNA is filed under the name uncultured bacterium. Its description in RNAcentral is "bacterial SSU rRNA". It matches the Rfam family "Bacterial small subunit ribosomal RNA", at positions 1 to 804 of the family's 1533-position model. The record is from RNAcentral.